Long non-coding RNA from Chrysemys picta bellii (western painted turtle), 2561 nucleotides. The record is from Ensembl. NCBI's taxonomy places the organism in Eukaryota, Metazoa, Chordata, Testudines, Emydidae.
UUCCAGUCAUCUGGGACCUCCCCUGAUCGCCAUGAGUUUUCAAAAAUAAUGGCUAAUGGCUCUGCAAUCUCACCCGCCAACUCCUUUAGCACCCUUGGAUGCAGCACAUCCGGCCCCAUGGACUUGUGCACGUCCAGUUUUUCUAAAUAGUCCCGAACCACUUCUUUCUCCACAGAGGGUUGAUCACCUUCUCCCCAUGCUGUACUGCCCAGUGCAGCAAUCUGGGAGCUGACCUUGUGCGUGAAGACAGAGGCAAAAAAAUCAUUGAGUACAUUAGCUUUUUCCACAUCCUCGGUCACUAGGUUGCCUCCCUUAUUCAGUAAGGGGCCCACACUUUCCUUGAUUUUCUUCUUGUUGCUAACAUAGCAUCACUUUCUUCUAUUCACCUGACAGAUGUUGGCUUUACAGUAUGGAAACCUUCAACUACGAUGCACCAAGCAGAGCUAAAACUGGCCUGCUACAUUGCCUGCCACUCAAUGGUUAGUUCCAUGGAUCAUUUUGGGGAACUUGUCAGAUCAGCUUUCAAGAGAGAGGGACAAAUUCAAACCCGAUUGAACACUCUGAAGAAAGAGAGAGAAGAACUUUUGGAGUGGAGACAGGAUGGAGAGAAGCAAAGCCAGGAAUAUCUGUCUUCUUCUUUUGCAGUGCUUCCAAGACACCCACCAGCAGCUUCAUCAGCACAAUGUAGGGGCCCUAAGGCCACCAUGAAAUCUAGUCAGUUGACACUCGUUGACAACAUGUGCCAUUGACUGAGGGAGGCCACAGUGACAAAGCGGGUUGCUGCGCAGACCCCAUGUGUAGAGGUUGGCUGUGCAUAUUCCUUGGCAGUUCGGAACUUGUUCAGCAGAGUCCAAAGGUAAUGCGGCAGGUCAAAUUCAGGUGGUCGAACAGUUGGAUCAGUGACAAGGAAACCAUUCGAAACAUCUUUAGCCAACCACUCGUUGCUCCAUAGGGUUGCUGCUGACAGAUUCUGAUCUGGCAGUUGAGAUUUGUGCAGUGCAGACGUACCUUAAAUCAAUUUUUAAUGUAAUGUCUUUAUUAGGACUGUCUAUUAAUCGCAGUUAACUCAUGUGAUUAACUAAAAAAAAUUAAUCAGGAUUUAAAAAAUUAAUCGCAAUUAAUCACAGCUUUAAUCACACAGUUAAACAAUAGAUUACCAAUUGAAAUUUAUUAAAUAUUUUGCAUGUUUUUCUGUAUUUUCAAAUAUAUUAAUUUCAAUUGCAACACAGAAAACAAAGUGUACAGUGCUCACUUUAUAUUCUUUUUUAUUACAAAAGUUGGCACUGUAAAAAUGAUAAAAGAAAUAAUAUUUUUCAAGUCACCUUAUACAAGUACUGUAGUGCAAUCUCUUUAUCAUGAAAGUGAAACUUACAAAUGUAGUUUUUUUGGUUACAUAACUGCACUCAUAAACAAAACAAUGUAAAACUUUAGAGCCCAGAAGUCCACUCAGUCCUACUUCUUGUUCAGCCAAUCGCUAAGACAAACAAGUUUGUUUACAUUUUCGGGAGAUAAUGCUGCCCACUUCUUAUUUACAAUGUCACCUGACAGUGUUCACAUGGAACUUUUGUAGCCGCCAUUGCAAGGUAUUUAUGUGCCAGAUAUGCUAAACAUUUUUAUGCCUCUUCAUGCUUUGGCCACCAUUCCAGAAAACAUGCUUCCAUACUGAUGAUGCUCAUUAAAAAAAUAAUGCAUUAAUUAAAUUUGUGACUGAACUCCUUGGGAGAGAAUUGUAUGUCUUCUGUUCUGUUUUACCCGCAUUCUGCCAUAUAUUUCAUGUUAUAGCCAUCUUGGAUGAUGACCCAGCACAUGUUGUUCAUUUUAAGAACACUUCCACUGCAGAUUUGACAAAACACAAAGAAGUUACCAAUGUGAAAUUUCUAAAGAUACAGCAUUUGACCCAAGGUUUAAGAAUCUGAAGUGCCUCUGGCACAAAAUCUGAGAGGGAUGAGGUGUGGAUCAUGCUUUCAGAAGUCUAAAAAGAACAACACUCUGAUGCGGAAACUACAGAACCUGAACCAUCAAAAAAGAAAAUCAACCUUCUGCUGGUGGCAUCUGGCUCAGAUGAUGAAAAUGAACAUGCAUCGGUCUGUACUGCUUUGGAUUAUUAUCGAGCAGAACCCAUCAUCACCAUGGACACAAGUCCUCUGGAAUGGUGGUUAAAGCAUGAAGGGGCAUAUGAAUCUUCAGUGCAUCUAGCACAUACAUUUCUUGUGACGCUAGAUACAACAGUGCCAUGCAAACGCCUGUUCUGACUUUCAGGUGACAUUGUAAACAAGAAGCGGGCAACAUUAUCUCACGCAAAUGUGAAUACACUUGUUUGUCUGAGCGAUUGGCUGAACACGAAGUAGGACUGAGUGGACUUGUAGCCACUAAAGUUUUACAUUGUUUUGUUUUUGAAUGCAGUUAUUUUUGUACAUAAUUCUACAUUUGUAAGUUCAACUUUAUGCUAAAGAGAUUGCACUACAGUACUUGUAAUGGGGGAAUUGAAAAAUACUAUUUCUUUUGUUUUUUACUGUGCAAAUAUUUGUAAUCAAAAAUAAAUAUUAAGUGAGCACUGUACA